This 633-nucleotide ribosomal RNA is filed under the name uncultured bacterium. Its description in RNAcentral is "bacterial SSU rRNA". It matches the Rfam family "Bacterial small subunit ribosomal RNA", at positions 45 to 694 of the family's 1533-position model. The record is from RNAcentral.
CGAACGAAGCACAGAUGUAGAAUUUCUUCGGAAAGGAAGCGCCUGUGACUGAGUGGCGGACGGGUGAGUAACGCGUGGGCAACCUGCCCCAUACCGGGGGACAACAGCUGGAAACGGCUGCUAAUACCGCAUACGUUUUCGGUGCCGCAUGGCGCCGAAAAGAAAACUCCGGUGGUAUGGGAUGGGCCCGCGUCUGAUUAGCUAGUUGGGAGGGUAACGGCCUACCAAGGCGACGAUCAGUAGCCGGCCUGAGAGGGCGACCGGCCACAUUGGGACUGAGACACGGCCCAGACUCCUGCGGGAGGCAGCAGUGGGGAAUAUUGCACAAUGGGGGGAACCCUGAUGCAGCGACGCCGCGUGAGCGAAGAAGUACCUCGGUAUGUAAAGCUCUAUCAGCAGGGAAGAAAGUGACAGUACCUGACUAAGAAGCCCCGGCUAACUACGUGCCAGCAGCCGCGGUAAUACGUAGGGGGCAAGCGUUAUCCGGAUUCACUGGGCGUAAAGGGAGCGCAGGCGGCGCGGCAAGUCUGAUGUGAAAGCCCGGGGCUCAACCCCGGGUCUGCAUUGGAAACUGUCGAGCUGGAGUGUCGGAGGGGUAAGCGGAAUUCCUAGUGUAGCGGUGAAAUGCGUAGA